RNAcentral lists this ribosomal RNA (252 nucleotides) under uncultured Arthrobacter sp. Its description in RNAcentral is "partial 16S ribosomal RNA". It matches the Rfam family "Bacterial small subunit ribosomal RNA", at positions 526 to 777 of the family's 1533-position model. The record is from RNAcentral. Lineage: Bacteria; Bacillati; Actinomycetota; Actinomycetes; Micrococcales; Micrococcaceae.
CGUAGGGCGCAAGCGUUAUCCGGAAUUAUUGGGCGUAAAGAGCUCGUAGGCGGUUUGUCGCGUCUGCCGUGAAAGUCCGGGGCUCAACUCCGGAUCUGCGGUGGGUACGGGCAGACUAGAGUGAUGUAGGGGAGACUGGAAUUCCUGGUGUAGCGGUGAAAUGCGCAGAUAUCAGGAGGAACACCGAUGGCGAAGGCAGGUCUCUGGGCAUUAACUGACGCUGAGGAGCGAAAGCAUGGGGAGCGAACAGGA